RNAcentral lists this small nucleolar RNA (146 nucleotides) under Otolemur garnettii (small-eared galago). RNAcentral's name for it is "Small nucleolar RNA SNORA48". It matches the Rfam family "Small nucleolar RNA SNORA48". Rfam says of the family: The snoRNA ACA 48 has been identified to guide pseudouridylation of the residue U3797 in the 28S rRNA subunit. Its host gene EIF4A1 (eukaryotic translation initiation factor 4A1) is shared with U67 and snoRNA mgU6-77 The record is from Rfam by way of RNAcentral. Lineage: Eukaryota; Metazoa; Chordata; Mammalia; Primates; Galagidae.
UACCUCUUGGCAAUGGGCAAAGAGGCACCUUAUUGGUGGUGGUACUCUUGUAUCAGUCAGGGGCACAUAAGACUGACAGUCCUUUGUUCAUCCUAGCUUGAUGCCUGGGUUGAUGGCCAGAGCUGUUUUUUGCCUGGGGCACAUAA